UGCCAAGCAACUUCUAUCCCUACCUCCUCGUGGUAUUGGCCGGUAACAAGCAACCUUAGGGAAGA
RNAcentral lists this ribozyme (65 nucleotides) under Aedes aegypti (yellow fever mosquito). RNAcentral's name for it is "drz-agam-1 ribozyme". It matches the Rfam family "drz-agam-1 ribozyme". Lineage: Eukaryota; Metazoa; Arthropoda; Insecta; Diptera; Culicidae. The record is from Rfam by way of RNAcentral.